AAAGUGCGAUAAGCACUGUGAAUUGCAGAAUUCAGCGAAUCAGUAGAUCUCUCAACGCAAAUGGUGCCAGGGUGUAGACUUGCUCACUCGGCAGACGUGGUUCAGCGUUGCAUUCAUUGCAAUCACAACUGCAUUUUUGUUCAGCAAUUUAUUGUUGACGAUUGGUUCGCUAACUUGUAUUGGCGAAUGGGAAUUGCUCGACAUAGUAAACACCUAAAAAUGUUAAGGAUGUCUCGAGUAAAUAUAGUUAACAACCUGAAUCACGUCAGAUUACCCGCUGAACUUAA
This 287-nucleotide unclassified non-coding RNA is filed under the name uncultured fungus. RNAcentral's name for it is "sequence contains ITS1". The stretch from base 1 to 110 matches the Rfam family "5.8S ribosomal RNA", at positions 50 to 154 of the family's 154-position model. The record is from RNAcentral. Lineage: Eukaryota; Fungi.